GUGUGGCCGCUGCCGCCAUGUUGUUGUGGUUGUGAGAAGGCGGCGGCGGCGGCGGGGUAGCAGCCGGACUAGACUUCCCAGCGGCUCAGCGCUGCCCCGCGCCGGCCCUGGCAGGGAGCCUGGUGGGGUGGCGGAGGAGGAGACUGUGCCGUGGCGGGCCUCGCCAUGUCCUGCUACCCGACUUCCUUGUGAAACCUCCUAGUAGAAAAAGUUAUUGGGACAAACUUCAUUUGACCUCACCAUAAGGGAAAGAAGAGAGCCUUGUUGGACACUGAAGAAGGGACGGGGAUUUCUCCUCCUAAUCUGGGCCUCCUGUCAUGGUUUUGGACUUUUCCAGGAUGAAGAGACUCGGCACAGCCUUGAGUGCAUCCAGGCCAAUCAGAUCUUUCCCAGGAAGCAGCUGAUCCGGGAGGAUGAGAAUCUUCAGGUUCCUUUCCUUGAACUUCAUGGAGAGAGCACA
Molecule: small RNA, 460 nt
Filed under: Pongo abelii (Sumatran orangutan)
Lineage: Eukaryota; Metazoa; Chordata; Mammalia; Primates; Hominidae
Description: processed transcript
Source: RNAcentral